Molecule: ribosomal RNA, 559 nt
Filed under: Viridispora sp. B71
Lineage: Eukaryota; Fungi; Ascomycota; Sordariomycetes; Hypocreales; Nectriaceae
Description: eukaryotic LSU rRNA
Rfam family: 5.8S ribosomal RNA (bases 208-361)
Source: RNAcentral
UCUCCGUUGGUGAACCAGCGGAGGGAUCAUUGCUGGAACGCGCUUCGGCGCACCCAGAAACCCUUUGUGAACUUAUACCUAUCUGUUGCCUCGGCGCAGGCCGGCUUCUUCACUGAAGCCCCCUGGAGACAGGGAGCAGCCCGCCGGCGGCCAACUAAACUCUUGUUUCUACAGUGAAUCUCUGAGUAAAAAACAUAAAUGAAUCAAAACUUUCAACAACGGAUCUCUUGGUUCUGGCAUCGAUGAAGAACGCAGCGAAAUGCGAUAAGUAAUGUGAAUUGCAGAAUUCAGUGAAUCAUCGAAUCUUUGAACGCACAUUGCGCCCUCUGGUAUUCCGGAGGGCAUGCCUGUUCGAGCGUCAUUUCAACCCUCAAGCCUGGCUUGGUGAUGGGGCACUGCCUGUAAAAGGGCAGGCCCUGAAAUCUAGUGGCGAGCUCGCCAGGACCCCGAGCGUAGUAGUUAUAUCUCGCUUUGGAAGGCCCUGGCGGUGCCCUGCCGUUAAACCCCCAACUUCUGAAAAUUUGACCUCGGAUCAGGUAGGAAUACCCGCUGAACUUAA